UUAAUUAAAGCUAAAAUAGAAGCUAUUCACUGUUAAUGAAAGAACUGGUAGACACCUAAUUAAA
This 64-nucleotide transfer RNA is filed under the name Magadhaideus sp. n. SX-2018. RNAcentral's name for it is "tRNA-Asn". Lineage: Eukaryota; Metazoa; Arthropoda; Insecta; Hemiptera; Achilidae. The record is from RNAcentral.